CAGUGUGGAGCUGUCAUCCCACUUUUCAUUACGGUCAUCAUCGCUGCCCUGGCUGGGGCACCAGGGCUGCUGUCACUCACCAGGCCUGGCCUAGGGGCAAUGGAGUGAGGCCUUGUCUCUAAGAAGCAUCUGCAUGACAGAAAACAUUUCUAUACUAUACGUCUGAUAAUGCAUUAAUAUCACAAAUGUAUAAAAACUCAAACAGUCCAACAGCAAGAAAACAAAUACUAUAAAAUAUUAGCAAAGGACUUGAUAUAGACAUUUCUCAAAGAAGACAUGCAUAUGAGCAAAAAGUACAUGAACAAAAGCCCAAGUUCAAUAAUCAUCAGAGAAAUGCAAAUUAAAACCAGAAUGAGAUGUCACCUCACAUCUGUUAGAAUAGCUAUUUCAAAAAGUUUGAAGUGCACUGAGUCUGGAUCUUUAGUAUCUUUAUUUCACUACUUCUUCUAAUGUAAGGAUUUGGUUUGUUAGUCUUUGAUGUGUCUUUUUUUUUGAGAUGGAGUCUCACUCUGUUGCCCAGGCUGGAGUGCAGUGGCGCGAUCUUGGCUCACUGCAACCUCCAACUCCUGGGUUCAAGCGAUUCUCCUGCCUCAACCUCCCGAGUAGCUAGGACUACAGACACGCACCACCACGCCCAGCUAACUUUUGUAUUUUUACUAGAGAUGGGGUUUCACCAUGCUGGCCAGGAUGGUCUGAAUCUCUUGACCUCAUGAUCUGCCCACCUUGGCCUCCCAAAGUGUUGGGAUUACAGGUGUGAGCCACCACGCCCGGCCUCAAUGUGUCUUUUUAUGGUUUUCAGUAAAGUUUUAUGGUUUCACAUAGGCCUGGGAAUGUCUUCUAAGUCGAUUUCAUGGCACGUUUGCUAAUGUGGAUGGAGGCUGACUCUUUGUUAUUGUUACUGUAUGUUUAUUAUUAGUAUGAAAGAUUCAAGAUUUAUUAUAUAUACAAUGUGCAUUUGCUCAAUUUCCUGAAUGUUGUUAAACAGUUUUUGUUCUGAAAGUUGAAAUCGAUUACCCUGCUUUUCUAUUUGUACUCAUGGCCUCUGUGGAUAACUACAGUUCAAAUUCUUUGACUUACAUUCUUUCCUGUUUCCUCCUCUUCUCUCUUCUGGUCCAGACUCAGGCAUCCCUCACAGUGAUAAAUGGGAGAGGCCUUGCCGGCCCUUGUCUUAGACUUUUCUUUAUUGAAACACUUCUGAUGUUUGCUGUUGAUUAUGAUGUUUGCACAAAUAUCUUUGCUUAAUAAGAAUUUUAUUUUUGCCUUUUCCCUUCCUUCCCUCCCUUCCUUCCUUCCUUCCUUCCUUCCUUCCUUCCUUCCUUCCUUCCUUCCUUUCAAAGCAUGAUCUCUGAUGUUUCUUAGGCUGGAGUGCAGUAGCUAGUCACAGAUGGAAUCAUAGCUCACUGCAGCCUCAAACUCCUGGGCUCAAGCAAUUCUCUCACCUCAGCCUCCUGAGUAGCUGGAACUGCAGUCAUGUGCCACCAUUCCCAGCCAGAAGUUUCUAUUAUCCUAUUUGGUAUUCUUAAUCAUCACAUAUUUUAUUCAAGGAUAUACUAAAGUGAUUACAUAUUUUUUCUACUGUAGUCUUUUGAUCAAAUAAAGAACCUAAAUAAUUUAUUUUUUGAGACAGAGUCUUGCUCUGUCACCCAGGCCGCAGUGCAGUGGUGCCAUCACAGCUCACUGCAACCUCUGCCUCCUGGGUUCAAGCAAUUAUCCUGCCUUAGCCUCCUGAGUAGCUGGGACUACAGGCGUGUGCCACCACACCUUGCUAAUUUUUGUCUUUUUAGUAGAGACGGGGUUUCACCAUGUUGGUCAGGUUGGUCUCAAACUCCCGACCUCAGGUGAUCUGCCCACCUUGGCCUCCCAAAGCAUUGGGAUUAUAGGCGUGAGCCACUGUGCCCAGCCUUGAUUUUAUUUUUAAUAGUAAAAUGUACUUGAAUAGUUUUUGGCGUAAUCUGGUAGUAGAAAUACACAAGAUAUCACCAUUAGAUACUGCUAAUCAAACACUUAAAAGGUGCAAGUAUCCAGGUGAUUUUGUAUACAAUCUGGGUCUUUUUGUCAGACUAACGAGUAUAAUGAGAUUUGAUAUUUGCUUCUGAUGUUGCUGGACAAACUGGGUAAAGAAAAGGAUUAAGUCAGGGAUUCCAAGUUUUUAAUACAAGUACUGCAUUAAUAUCCUAAAAAUUUAUAUGUAGCCCUGAAGAAGAUACUUAACUCCUGCAGCUUCAGGGCUCAAAAUGCUGAAAAGAAAUCAUAGCAUCUCAUCCCAUAACUGGCUGAAUUACAACAAAAAUUAAAUUCCCAGGCUUGCAGGAUGCCUACUUUUAAAGUGGGGGUAUUCAUUCAGAAAACAUUGGAUAUUAAAAAGUUAAAAUGAGGGCCAGGUGCGGUGGCUCACACCUGUAAUCCCAGCAUUUUGGGAGGCUGAGGUGGGAGGAUCACCUGAGGUUGGGAGUUCGAGACCAGCCUGGCCAACAUGGAGAAACCCCUUCUCUACUAAAAAUACAAAAUUAGCUGGGUGUAGUGGUGCAUGUCUGUAAUCCCAGCUACUCAGGAGGCUGAGGCAGGAGAAUCACUUGAAGCCGGGAGGUGGAGGUUUCGGUGAGCCGAGAUCGCACCAUUGCACUCCAGCCCCUGGGCAACAAGAGUG
RNAcentral lists this long non-coding RNA (2647 nucleotides) under Homo sapiens (human). RNAcentral describes it as "HSALNT0256958". Lineage: Eukaryota; Metazoa; Chordata; Mammalia; Primates; Hominidae. The record is from RNAcentral.